RNAcentral lists this ribosomal RNA (253 nucleotides) under uncultured bacterium. Its description in RNAcentral is "partial 16S ribosomal RNA". It matches the Rfam family "Bacterial small subunit ribosomal RNA", at positions 524 to 776 of the family's 1533-position model. The record is from RNAcentral.
UACGUAGGGUGCGAGCGUUAAUCGGAAUUACUGGGCGUAAAGCGUGCGCAGGCGGCUUUUUAAGCCAGAUGUGAAAUCCCCGGGCUUAACCUGGGAACUGCAUUUGGAACUGGAAGGCUAGAGUGUAGCAGAGGGGGGUAGAAUUCCACGUGUAGCAGUGAAAUGCGUAGAUAUGUGGAGGAAUACCGAUGGCGAAGGCAGCCCCCUGGGCUAACACUGACGCUCAUGCACGAAAGCGUGGGGAGCAAACAGG